AGCAGCCGCGGUAAUUCCAGCUCCAAUAGCGUAUAUUAAAGUUGUUGUGGUUAAAAAGCUCGCAGUUGAACCUUGGGCCUGGCUGGCCGGUCCGCCUCACCGCGUGUACUGGUCCGGCCGGGCCUUUCCCUCUGUGGAACCCCAUGCCCUUCACUGGGUGUGGCGGGGAAACAGGACUUUUACUUUGAAAAAAUUAGAGUGCUCCAGGCAGGCCUAUGCUCGAAUACAUUAGCAUGGAAUAAUAGAAUAGGACGUGUGGUUCUAUUUUGUUGGUUUCUAGGACCGCCGUAAUGAUUAAUAGGGACAGUCGGGGGCAUCAGUAUUCAAUUGUCAGAGGUGAAAUUCUUGGAUUUAUUGAAGACUAACUACUGCGAAAGCAUUUGCCAAGGAUGUUUUCAUUAAUCAGGAACGAAAGUUAGGGGAUCGAAGACGAUCAGAUACCGUCGUAGUCUUAACCAUAAACUAUGCCGACUAGGG
RNAcentral lists this ribosomal RNA (477 nucleotides) under uncultured Paraglomus. RNAcentral describes it as "SSU rRNA". It matches the Rfam family "Eukaryotic small subunit ribosomal RNA", at positions 569 to 1051 of the family's 1831-position model. Lineage: Eukaryota; Fungi; Glomeromycota; Glomeromycetes; Paraglomerales; Paraglomeraceae. The record is from RNAcentral.